This 73-nucleotide transfer RNA is filed under the name Sus scrofa (pig). It matches the Rfam family "tRNA". Rfam says of the family: Transfer RNA (tRNA) molecules are approximately 80 nucleotides in length. Their secondary structure includes four short double-helical elements and three loops (D, anti-codon, and T loops). Further hydrogen bonds mediate the characteristic L-shaped molecular structure. tRNAs have two regions of fundamental functional importance: the anti-codon, which is responsible for specific mRNA codon recognition, and the 3' end, to which the tRNAs corresponding amino acid is attached (by aminoacyl-tRNA synthetases). tRNAs cope with the degeneracy of the genetic code in two manners: having more than one tRNA (with a specific anti-codon) for a particular amino acid; and 'wobble' base-pairing, i.e. permitting non-standard base-pairing at the 3rd anti-codon position. The record is from Rfam by way of RNAcentral. Lineage: Eukaryota; Metazoa; Chordata; Mammalia; Artiodactyla; Suidae.
UCCCUGGUGGCUUAGCAGUCAAAGAUCCAGCAUUGUCACUGCUGCAGCCCAGGUUCAAUCCCUGGCCCAGGAA